Molecule: long non-coding RNA, 1891 nt
Organism: Ornithorhynchus anatinus (platypus)
Lineage: Eukaryota; Metazoa; Chordata; Mammalia; Monotremata; Ornithorhynchidae
Exons: 5
Source: RefSeq, a predicted model, not a curated record
GGCACGCUGAGGGGGUUUAGGGUAGUGAGCACCAAGGGUAGAACACUGACACCAGCAGGUCCAGGGAGUCAGAAAUGGGUUGGGGGUAGCAAGUGCCGAUAGCAACGAAUGACGUCAUGACAGUGAGGUGGAGCAGGCAGAUGGAGAAGGCUUUGGUCCUGUCCUCGCUGGAUCACAUCCUCAGCAGGGCCAAGAAGAUGUGGACAUAAGACAGAAGGAUGGAUAUGAAGUAGCCCGGAGCCAAAGUGACUCACGCUACCAGAGUACAGACGUCGGGCCGGGCCUCUCCCGGGAACAUGAGUUUGAGCAACUGGGGAACAUCACAGAAGAACUGGUGGAUGACACAAGGACAGCAGAAGUGGGAGGAGAAGGUGGCAGCCAUUUCCAUCAGGGUGUAGAGGCCACUGGUGAGCCAGGAGGUGGUCACCAUCUUACCACAGGCUCUUCGGUUAAUGAUGAUGUCAUAGAGCUGGGGGCGGCAGGUGGACACAUAGUAGUCAUAGGACAUCACCGUGAGGAAGGCCCUGUUCGCAGCACCAAAUAUCACGAAGGACAACACUUGGGAAAUGCAGCUCAAGAAGGAGACGAUCGCUCAGGGCACUGAGGAUGGAUUUGGGGAGGGUGACGGAGAUGAGGCAGAGGUUAAGGAUGGACAGGUGCUUGAGGAAGAAGUAAAAGGAGGUGUGGAGGUGCCGGGAAGAGGGCAAUGACGGCGUCGAUGAGGUCGUCCAAGGCCCCUUUGAAGGAGUCAAAGGGUAGUGGCCAUGAGGCUUAAUCUUCUGUGGACUAUCCUGUUCUCCCACCUCUGUGGGGUCCAGUGCGUGAUCGUCUACCGUCCCUGCACCUUGGAGAGAAACUAUUCCAGUGGCUACUACCAGGAUCGAGAUGUGGUGAUCGGAGGACUCAUCUGUCUUGAUUUGAUUCCGGGUCAUUUCACUAUCUUUGAGAACUUCACGGAACCGCCAUCAAUCAGUGCCACACCCACGGAAUACUUCACCAACCACUACUAGCAUCUCCUGGCCCUGGUGAUUGCCGUGGAGGAGAUCAACAAGGACACCAGCCUGUUACCCAGUAUCUCCCUGUGUUUCUACCUCUUGGACGUCCACUUCCUCGUGAUGUUCCGUGCCGAGAGCUCCAUGGCUCUGUUCUCGAGGAGAGCCGGUAAGGUCUCCAGCUACAGCUUCGAGAUGGAGCAACGGGACAAAUUGCUGGCUGUCAUAGGAGGGAUGACCUCCGGAGUGACCACGACUGGUUCCUGGCUGCUGGGACUCUAUAACCUCCCCCAGGAACUCGCUUUCUCCCUCCCCUUUGUAGGGAGCAGAAUGAUGCCCUGGGAUUUCUACAUCAUUUCCUGUCUUCCUCCGCCCCCCCCCCCCCCGCGCCCCGGUCAUGUCCCUACAUAGCAGGGCAGAAAGUCUCCAUACACUGCCUCUCUCCCUCUUCCCCUCCUCGCACAGACUCCUUCCCCCCCCCACUCCAUGCCAGCCGGGAUUCAGGAACACAGCUCGGGAAGUGAAAGUCAUUUGCUGCUACGACUGCGCACUGUGCGCCAAGGGAGAGAUCAGCAAUCAAACUGAACGUGCGUCGCCCAGGGACCAGAACUUCAUGCCUCAUCCCAGGCAAGGUGGGAAAUCCUAUUUACUCUUUUCAGAUAUGGAUCAGUGCUCAGGUGCCCUGAAGAUGAGUUUCCAAAUCCUCAAGGAGAUCAGUGUGUCCCAGGAGCCGUGGUCUUCCUUUCCUAUGAGGAGCCUCUAGGAAUGGUUCUGGCAUCCUCAGCCUUCUGUCUCUCUCUCUCCUCACUGCCCCGGUUUCGGGGGUCUUCAUCCGCCAUCGGGAUACCCCCAUAGUGAAAGCUAAUAAACGCGGUCUCAGUUACGCCCUCCUCACUGCC